AUUGAACGCUGGCGGCAUGCCUUACACAUGCAAGUCGAACGGCAGCACGUGUUCUUGCACCUGGUGGCGAGUGGCGAACGGGUGAGUAAUACAUCGGAACAUGUCCUGUGGUGGGGGAUAGCCCGGCGAAAGCCGGAUUAAUACCGCAUACGAUCUACGGAUGAAAGCGGGGGACCUUCGAGCCUCGCGCUAUAGGGUUGGCCGCUGGCUGAUUAGCUAGUUGGUGGGGUAAAGGCCUACCAAGGCGACGAUCAGUAGCUGGUCUGAGAGGACGACCAGCCACACUGGGACUGAGACACGGCCAAGACUCCUACGGGAGGCAGCAGUGGGGAAUUUUGGAGAAUGGGCGAAAGACUGAUCGAGCAAUGCCGCGUGUGUGAAGAAGGCCUUCGGGUUGUAAAGCACUUUUGUCCGGAAAGAAAUCCUUGGCCCUAAUACGGUCGGGGGAUGACGGUACCGGAAGAAUAAGCAACGGCUAACUACGUG
RNAcentral lists this ribosomal RNA (486 nucleotides) under uncultured bacterium. Its description in RNAcentral is "partial 16S ribosomal RNA". It matches the Rfam family "Bacterial small subunit ribosomal RNA", at positions 30 to 507 of the family's 1533-position model. The record is from RNAcentral.